GAGACUGGCUGAGUCUUCUGGUCUUCAUCUUUCUCCCAUGCUGGAUGCUUCCUGCCCUUGAACAUUGGACUGCAAGUUCUUUAGCUUUUGGACGUUUGGACUUACACCAGUGGUUUGCCAGGGGCUCUCAGACCUUCUGCCACAGACUGAAGGCUGCACUUUCAGCUUCCCUACUUUUGAGGUUUUGGAACUCGGACUGGCUUUCUUGCUCCGCAGCUUGCAGGUGGCCUGUUAUGGGACUUUACCUUGUGGAUCAUAAAAAUAGAAAAGUUGACUACUUUGAAAAGGAAACUAUGACAAACAAGUAUAUAUUCAGGAAAGGGACUCCUAGAACUUGAGCAACAAAAAAAAGAGUUCAACCUCAGCACAGUGGAGUCUGCAGUGUCUUUGCAACUACAGAAAUGAACUUGUGUUCCUCACAUCCUUGAGAGUCGAGAUUUGCAUUUCUCUACAGAGCUCGGGCUGAAUGAAGCAAAGAGACCUCUGCCACCCCCACUAGCUGGCCCAGUCCUGGAAACGGAAGCAGUCACUUGCGAUCUUCCACACUGUAUUCCUGGGUGAGGCCUGGGCGGUCAGGAUGAAGUUCUGGUUGAAGUCCCAUUGUUUGUUCCCCUUCAAACUUCACUGAUCCACAGAUCACAACAAGGACCGUGGUCUGGCUCAUUGUGGCUUCAUCAUGAACAGGCUGACAGUCUACCACGCUGAUUUGGAACUCGCUGGAAGGCAACAUUUCAAAAAACUCACUCAAAGAUUCUUGUCCUGAAACAGCAUUGCCGUUCCAGACCAGGGUGGCUGUGCCCAUGUACAGGCGGGACAGUGCACAGCUAUAGCAUGUUGCAUGCCAAGGGACAUAAGGACUCCACCUACUGCCAGAAAAAGGAUCCUCAUUGUCAUCUGGGCAGAGAAUGACACAGCUCCAAAAUCCCACUUUAAAUUCUGUUUCCAAGGACCACUUGACCACCUUUUGACACAGAGUCCCUGGAGAUGAGCUUUGUCUGAGAAGAAAAUUUGUGUACAGAAAGUUUAUUGGCAAUCACACUCAGAAACAAGACACUUAAGAAAAUGAUGGAAUAAAAAUUGCGUAGAGAUAGAAGCUGACCUGCGAUACAUACUCAAAUUAAAUCUUAGUUAAUAACAUGAAGUUCUCUGCAGCUGAGAUGGCUAAUGAGAAUUGUUCUAAAUUCAGAAGAGGAAGCUUGGCCUUUGACCCUUAUAUCAACAUGGCAAGGGGCAUGAUCUUGAGUGAGGCGUCUCCCAGAGGGCAGCCCCCGGAGAAGGGCGCAGGACUAGCCAUCAGGAGCCAACACUCCUAGCAGCUGGGUGAACAAACUCCAGAAUGGGUCCUGUAGAGAGGACCUGGGUGAUGCACCACAAUGCCUGCGACAGGGACGAUAUCUCUGGGUUAGAGAGGAUGGGGAUGAAAUCGUGAAAACUGGAAGCUUAGAAAUGUUUACGACUGGGUGAAAGGAGGUAGUCAGUGGUUAUACAUUAUUUACAUGAUCAAUUCAUCCCAGAUCAUGGAACCCCCUGACGCUAAAUCAAACAGAGAUCAAACAAAUGUGUUUUAUUUUCUGCCAGCUAAUGAAUGCUCACACACAUAUAUAUGUAAUCAUUGUUGUAAAUUAUUCAGUCUCCUGCCCUGGUAAUGCACCGCUGCUCUCUGAGCAUGCUCAAGAGUCAUUUAUCACAUCACUUUAGAAUCAGCUCCUCCAGAAGAUUUCCUUUAAUAUCUUUACUGACUUUUCAAGAGUUCAGCAACAACCGAUUAAUUCCUUUUUAUCCUGCCCCAAAUGUCCCAAAUAUUUUCAUAUUGCCUUAAAAUAUUUAUCUUGGGCCAGUUUCCAAUCUUGCUUGAUUCUUCAUCUCAUCUUGCUUCAAGGAGAAAUUUCCUUUGAUGUCCAUAGUAAACUACUUCCUUGAAAGGCUACAUGUGGUUGUUUAAGAGGAUUAGAAAGAAACUUGGUCAGAUCACUCUGUCAAGCUGUCAAGGCUUUCAUCUUUUCAACCUACCUCCUGUGAAUUCCUUGAGACCCUCUAACCCGUAUGAAUAUGUUUUCCAUUUUUUUGUGGAGGGUGGUAGUUUUUGUUGUUGUCUGCCCUUUAAAAAAUUAUUCUCAUCACUGAAUGGCACCAUGGCCCCAAAUAUCUGCAUUAGAAAUAUUUACCCAAAGGUAAUCUUCUACCACAUGCUCCCAAUUUAGUGUAAAAUUACAUAGUAAAUUCUGACUAAUGACUGUGUUUGAAAUAAUUUUUCUUUGCUCUUUUAUUUUUUUUAACACAUUUCUACUCAUCUUUCCAUAGCUUCUACAAAUACCACUCUCUCUUGUAAAACCUUUCUUUAUUUCUCCUGGGCAGAAUUAAUCACAUUUUCUUCUGGAUACCUCUACUAGUUCAUUCAUUCAUUCAUUCUGCAGUUGCUUAUUGAAGUCUACUAUACGUCACAUAUUGUACUGAUUCUGAGUACAGAUAUAAGAAAACUCCCUGCUUUUUUAGAUCAGUGAAAAAGAAGAGUAAAUAAAUAGUUAUUACAGUGUCAUAACUUCGAUGAUAGAGGAAGCAGAAGAUGCUGUGGAAAGAGAAUGGGGGAACUCAAUUUGGACUGAGUCUCAAAGGAUGAAUGACGGUUUUCCAGUUGUAGGGGGCAAGAUGGACAUUUUGGUGAGAGGAAGCAGUCUGAGCCGGGCAGGCCUCUUUAGGAGAAUUAUAUGUAGCUGCAAAAGGCUAGAGCACGAUACAUGUGCAGGUCUAACUAGGCACUUGGAAAGGAAGGCAAAGCCAUGCUGAGUCACUUGGGAAGCCACUGAAGGUUUAUUCCUAAGAAAGUGACAUGAUAUACCUUUUCAUAUUAUCUUUCUAUAAAAGAGUUAACCAAAGGGGAAGAAAAAAGACAAUAUAAGGAAGUAAAAGCUAAGAGUAAUAUCUGUAACAAAUAAAAUACGUGGAUUAAUAUUCUUAAUAAAUGCCUUAAAAUCAGUUAGGAAAAGUACUAACAUUCCAGUAGUAGGCAAAGGACACAUUUUUUGCUUAUAUUAUUCUUUUUAAUUGACACAUAUUAAUUGUGCAUAUUUAUGGGGUACAAAGUGAUAUUUUGAUAUGUGCAUACGAUGUGUAAUGAUAUCCACCACCUGUAAAAUUUAUGAUGUUUUGUGUGAGGAACAUUCAAAAUCCACUCUUCUAGCUAUUUAAAAAUAUACAAUAAUUUAUUGUUAAUAAUUGUCACCCUACAGUGGUAUAGAACACUAGAACUUAUUCUUCCUCUCUAGCUAUAAUUUUGUAUUCCUUAACCAAUUUCUGGCUGCCCUCCCUUUCUUCUACCAUUCCCACCCUCUAGUGACUCUUAUUUUACUCUCUGAGAUCAAUGUUUUUAGCUACAUAUGAGU
Long non-coding RNA from Homo sapiens (human), 3380 nucleotides. Lineage: Eukaryota; Metazoa; Chordata; Mammalia; Primates; Hominidae. The record is from Ensembl.